UGUGGGAAAUGUAGUACAACGCCUCGGGCGGGGCUGCGUCCAUCGGCUGGCCGCUCAGGCUUGUUCUGCGAGAGGGUGAAUGCAGUGCACCGGCGGCGGGCCUCAGAGGAUCCCGAAGGAGGAGCCCAGAACUGUAGGGGGGAGGCCUCUGCGGCCUGCGGGGCGGAGCCGGCAGCAGCUGGGCUCGGGGAGAGUCCUCUCCUCCACCGGGCCACUGAGCUGCAGGUGCGCCCCCUCAGGUACCCAGCAGCCAGGCCGUGGUGAGAACCCCCAGAGCUAGGAAUAUCCCUGACACAGACCUUCCACCUGUCCGAGGAGGGCGCCGAGGCUGGAUCACAGCCCGGGAGCGGCGGGGGCGGGAGACUUGGCGUGGCGUUCUGGGGUUCGAAGGGUCAUUGGGGGCCUAAGGCAUGGCCAGUAGCUCGACCCCGGGUCUCUUCUCCAGGGCUUUUCCGGGCCCCGCGCAUCCUAGUCCUGGAACUCGUCGCCAAGGUGAAGGGGAUCUGCCCCUCGGAAGUCUCUAGGGAUGCUGAACAACAGUCCGGGGUCUCCCACUCCAGCCCUUUGUGUAAACCGCAACUCAGAACACAAGCAGUGGUUUCCUGAUUCCAAAAAAGGGCGUAGGCGUGGGCUCCCCUUGACCCAUCUCUUCAAAAGAACCUGGAAGCCAGAUUUCUACUUCAGGAUUUUUUUUUUUUUUUUUUUUUGAAGAAUUUUUCCUGUUAAAACUUAACUGUAGGUCAACUAGAAAAUUCAUAUGAGCAAAAAUCAUUUGAGAGUUCUCAAAAUCUGUACAUGUGUAUAAGUAUAUUAUCACUUUGUUUUUAGAAGGAAAUAUGAAUAUUAGUAUCACUUCUCCAUUUACCCAUUAAAAGUGAGUUAUGAAAUGCAUUUGGCAAGGUUAAAGUGCAGGAAUCUUAGGCUCCAUCACUUUUUGGGUAACUGCCACUCAAUGGAGAUAAAGAAUAAACUUUUUUAAAAAACAUGCUGAAAACGUUUACUUAUACCAAUUUUAAAAACAGCUAAAGCUCAUCGACAUUUAAUGAGUAUGAGGGAAAGUAUGUCUGUGUCCUUAAUUUUCUUUGCAUCCCAAUUUUUUAAAAAUAUAUAUAAGUAUAUUUUUAUAUAAAUACAUAUAGACAAUCUGGCUGGGUACGGUUUUGCAUUGUUGUCGCAGUCUAUCAGUCUCUUCAAGUGGAUAUUUCUAGGUCAGUGGCACAAUGUCUUUUAAUACUACCUGUCUUCUUACUCUUUAACUUUCUGAGAGGUGCUAAUGAUAAGCUGUUUAAGUUGCAUUUUGAACAUUUAGGAGAAUUUUUAUGCAGUUUGCUUUUUUUUUUUUUUUUUUGGUACCAGGGAUUUAAACCAGGGGUGCUGUACCCAGGCCUUUUUAUAUUUUAUUUUGAGUUUUUGAGUCAGGUUCUAGCUAAGUUGCUUAGGGCCUCCCUAAGUUGUUCUGGCUGACUUCAAACUAAGUAUACUCCUGCUUCAGCCUUCCCAACUGCUAGGAUUACAGGCAUUCACUUUUUUUUUUGAUGCUGGGCAUGUAACCCAGGUCUUUACACAUACUAGGCAAGCACUUUACCACUGAUCUAUAUAUCCCAAGCCUUUGUUUUAUUUUUAAAUUUUCUGAUAUACAAGCACAUAUUUCCUAACUGAGCAGAGAUGUUACAUAUUCAUAUCAAACAUAAAACAAUUCCUUCAUGUUUGGGUCUUUAACAUCAUUAUAAGGGAGCCUCAUCUGUACUUUGUUCUAAUACUUUUGUGUCAUUACACAUGUACAUCUUAAGUUUUUCCCAAAUGGAAAGUCCUUUUGAAUAAUUUUCUUCACUAAUGUGAAAUGCCACAUUUUUCAUAUCCUGAAUUUUUUAUGGUGCUCUACCACUGAGCUAUACUUUCAGCCCCUGAAUUCUUAUGUGUACAUUUUUUACGAAUCAUCUAUAUUGGAAAGACUUCAAAUUGUUCCAUUGGUCCUUUCCCCUGUUAGAUAAUAAUAUUCAUUAGGGCACAGAGUUUAUCUAUUUUACGUACAGUUGUUCUCACAGCCUAAAAUGGUGAGCCCCUUAUACAGUUGAUAGUUUGGUGAAUGAGUGUUCUGCCUAUUUGGUAAUACUGUGUUCCAAUAACUAAAAGUUCUGGUUGGGCAAACUGUCAUCAGUGUUCUAUUUUAUUUUAAAAUAUUUAAUUGACUAUAUGAGGUUCAGGUGAAGUGUACAGUCAGUACAUGUAUACAGUGUACAAUGAUCAAAUCAGAAUAAUUAGCAUAUCCAUGACCUCAAAUACAUAUCAAAAAUUUGUGUUGGGAACACUUAAAAUCCUUUCUUGUAGGUAUUUUGGAGUAUACGUCAAAUUAUUAUUAACUCUAGUCACCAUACUGUACUAUAGAAUAUUAAAACAUAUUCCUCCUGUGUAACUGUAUUUUUAUACCUUAUAGUCAACCUGUCUCUGUUCUUUUCUCCCCUCCUCUCUUCUGUACUUCUGUGAGACCAACUUACUUAGUCUCCACAUAUGAAUGUGAACAUGAGGAAUUUGUCUUUGUGUUAGCUUUUUGUCAGUGUGACAAAUACCUGAGAAAAACAACUUUGAGGAGGAAAACUUUAUUUUGGCUCUCAAUUUCAUAGGUCCAUGGUCAGCCCCAUUGCUUUGAACCUAAAUGGAAGUAGAAACCUUGGGAGAAGGACAUAGCAGAGGAAAGCUGCCACCUGGUGGCAGCCAGGAAACAAGAAGAAAGGAGGAAGGUACUGGGGACAAGAUACACUCUGCCAGGGCACAUCCUCAGUGACCUACUUCUUACAACUAGCCCCCAUUUCCUACAGUUUCUACCACCUCCCAAUAAUGCCAUCAAAUUAUUAAUUCACUAAUCCAUUGAUGAGAUUAGGGCCCUCUUGAUCCAGUCACCUCCCAAGAGCCCUAUCUCUGAACACUGCUGUACUGAGGGCCAUGCCUUCAACACAGGAGCUUUGGAGAAUAUUUCAUAUCCAAACCAUAAUAGUGUUUAUCAGUAUUUUUUUUGUUUUGGUACUAGGAAUUGAAUCCAGGUGUGUGCAUAACCACUGAGCUAUAUCCCCAGCACUUUUUUUUUUUUUUUUUUAAGAGACAGGGGCUUGCUAAGUUGCUUAGGGCCUUGCUAAAUUGCUGAGGCUGGCUUUGAACUCAUGAUCCUCCUGUUUCAAGCUGGAUUACAGGCAUGUGCCACACUAUGCACCCGGCUUCAUCAGUAUUCUUUUUAAAAUAUUUUUCUUUCUGUUGUACAAAACAAUUUGCAUAAUUAACUUCAAAAUAUUGUUACUCCAUUUUAGCUUAAUUAGGAGUAUAAGUUCAAAAAUUCAUUUCAUGGAAGUGACAACUUAGAAUACUGUGACAUCCUAUCCAGGAAUUCAGUAUGUAUAUCUAAGUUCAUCUUUCUUUAUAUAUCUAAAUAAACUUAAUAGAGCAAACUACAAAUAAAAAUUGUAAUUUUCUCUAUGUAGAUUCCUUACACUCCUAUUUAUCUGUAGGUACUUUGUUUGUUGUUGCAGGAGUACAGUUUCUCAUGAUUUCCUGUCCUUCCCUCAGCUCCACAUUCCCUAGGAAGGACCCCACAGGAAGGAAGAAGGCGAUGGCUGCAGGGCCUCUGCCUUUGGAAGCUCAGGUGACACAUCUUUUUCUCUCAAACCUCUUUCUUAUUCUCAUACUGUGUGUGGGAUUCAUUACACAGGACAAAGGUAUUGCCGAUCAGAAUGUUGAGGAGUUUUUGCAAAGCCUCCCUCAGUGUCCCUCUGUUCUCAGGCCACUGAUACCCUGUCCUGCUGGGUUCUUGAUGGUGUUCAAGGAUCAGAAAAGGAACAAAAAUCAUAGAGAAAUGGUCCUUGUGUUUAUACGGCUUAUGGGCUCUCAGGUAUUAUAAAAGAGGACACAUCUGUACAGGAUACAAUUAUAAGGAUUAAACAUGAAAAUAAUGAUAAGAUCAAGUAUGGUUAUGUUCCCAGAUUAUUGGUGUUCCAGAGUCUGGAGAAGAGAAAUAUCAGGGUAGAGAUUAGGAGAAGUAGGGGGUGUUUGCCCAUCUAAAGGGUUGAAAAUGGAUAAAUGUUGAGGAUCUGCUAUAUAACGGAGUUGGAGUGUCCAAUAUUAAAUCCUGACCCUACUAUUUAAUAUCUGCAUUGCCUUAGGCAAGUGACUUGACUUCCUUAAAGCAUCACUUCUUCAUAUUGAUGACAGAAAUAACAGCAUUAACUGAAUUUCUGCCAUACAUCUGGCAUUGUUAAGAAUUACCUAUGGCUCAUCUCAUUUACUUCAUCGGUUUUCUCAAAGCUCAAAUAAGAUAAUGCAAGUGAAAAGAGCCUUAGCUUGGUUCCUGUAAUGUUGAAGGUAUUUGGUAAUUGCUAGGCAUCCUUAGUAUUAGUCCAGCCAAGAACUUGGUAGUUUAGAGUUUCACUGGUGGGGUGAGGGUAGCAGUCACUGAUAGUGAGACAUGCUUGACUGGCAUAGAGGGAAUCCAAUGCCCUAUUUGGAGUCAAGCGGAAAGAGGAGCUUGCAUGUAUGUUGACCUGGCAGGCCUGGGGAUGGAAGAGGUACCUGGGAGAUCAGUCUGAGGAAUUUUGUUAAGAGACUUGGCAUGAUAAAAGUUUUUCUAGCCAGGUGAGGUGGUGCAUGCCUAUAAAUCCAACAGCUUGGGAGGCUCAGGCAGGAGGAUCCUGAAUUCGGAGCCAGCCUCAGCAACUUAACGAGGUCUUAAAGCAACUCAGUGAGACCCCAUCUCUAAAUAAAAAAUAAAAAAGGGUUGGGGAAGUGCUCACUGGUUAAGCACCACUGGGUUCAAUCUUUGAUACCAAAAAAAAAAUAAAAAUGAAAAAUUGUGUAGGAAAAAAAGCAGUGUUAAUCAGAAAGAGGAAACCAUGAAAUUGAAAUCAGAAGUGAGGAGCCCUGACUUAUUACUUGAAAUUAGAACCUGCUAGUUUUCCUGGAAUCUGUAGUUGUUGCUUUUGUGGUAGAGCACUUGCCUAGCCCAUGUGCAAGGCCCUGAGUUCAAUCCCCAGCACCAUGGAAAACAAACAAAAACCAUAAAGCAAUAAUGAAUAUUAGAGAAGGGAGUUUUCUAGAAGAGGGGAAUGUUGAAUAUUAGAGAAGGGAGUUUUCUAGAAGAGGGGAAUGUUUAUGUGGGUCAUCUGGAAGAUUCUGGUUAAUGAAGAUUGUAAUUUGGUUAUCAGUAGCCUGGAUUUGAUUUGCUGUUUAAUGUUAAUUAAGGGUGGCACACGCUUGUAGUUCCAGCGGCUUAGGAAGCUGAGACAGGAAGAUGCUGAGUUCAAAGCCAUCCUCAGCAACUCAGCAAGGCCCUGAGCAACUCAGCAAUAAAAUAUAAAAAAUGGCUGGGAAUGUUGCUCAGUGAUUAAACAACCCUGGGUUCAAUCCCUGCUACCAAAAUAAUAGUAGUAGUAAUAAUAAUAAUGUUACUUGAAAUUUUUCAGUGUUAAAAUUUUAAAUCCACUUUUUUGAGAUAUAAUGAAUAUAAAAUAACCCACUUAAAGCAUUAAAUUAUUU
This 5517-nucleotide long non-coding RNA is filed under the name Marmota monax (woodchuck). The record is from RNAcentral. Lineage: Eukaryota; Metazoa; Chordata; Mammalia; Rodentia; Sciuridae.